GUCUUUUUGAAUAUAAUUUAAAGUCUGACCUGCCCAAUGAGUGUUUGAAUGGCCGCGGUAAUUUGACCGUGCAAAGGUAGCAUAAUCAUUAGUUUUUUAAUUGAAAGCUGGAAUGAACGGUUGGACGAGAAAAUAACUGUCUCAAUUUAAUUGAAUAUAGAAUUUUAUAUGUAAGUAAAAAAGCUUACAUGAUUUUAAAAGACGAGAAGACCCUAUAGAGUUUUAUAUUUUACUAUAUUAAUUAUUUUUAGUAUGUUUACAUUUUUUAUAUAGUAAUAUAUUUUGCUGGGGCAGCAGGAAAAUUAAAUAAACUUUUUUUUAUUAAUAAAACAUUGAUUUAUGAUUGUAUGAUCCAUUUUUUAUGAUUAUAAGAUUAAAUUACCUUAGGGAUAACAGCGUAAUUUUUUUUUAGAGUUCUUAUCGAAAAAAGAGUUUGCGACCUCGAUGUUGGAUUAAAAUUAACUUUUGGUGUAGGGGCUAAAAGGUUAGGUCUGUUCGACCUUUAAAAUUUUACA
RNAcentral lists this ribosomal RNA (515 nucleotides) under Anomala eucoma. RNAcentral describes it as "partial 16S ribosomal RNA". It matches the Rfam family "Bacterial large subunit ribosomal RNA", at positions 1819 to 2600 of the family's 2925-position model. Lineage: Eukaryota; Metazoa; Arthropoda; Insecta; Coleoptera; Scarabaeidae. The record is from RNAcentral.